GCUUGGGGUUAUUUGUGCCUAAAGGGUCUGGGUAAGUUGUGCCAGUGGUACAGCUCACCCACAUUUAUGAUUAUUCACUACAUUUGACCUACAUUAUUUUAUUGUAUUUAAUUUAAUUGUGCAUUGUAUUCUUACAUCUGAUCACUAAAACUAUGUGACAUUCUCAGCCUUAGAACAAAAUAUAUCAUGCCAUGGAGUUACAAACAAAGACAGGGCUUCAGAGGAGUUGGACAGAGCAGUAAAAGAGGUGCAACAGGGGGAGGUGGCAGUGAAGAUAGUGAUCUGCAGGAUGAGCUUGAAAAUAUAUAUUGAGAAGAAAAAAAGGAGAAGUAACAAACACAGGCUAUAAGGGAAAAGGACAUGCUAACCAAGUCUGCAGGUAGAUGGUUGCAGGUAACAAAUCCUAUAACUAAGUUGGAUUGGUGGAGAAUAACUAGGGUGACCAGAUCAGUGCAAAGUUUCUAAAGCAAAUUUGUAAGAGAUCUGUGGGUGGAAAGCCAAUCUUCACAUUUAAAGAACAUGAUGAAGGAGUUGUCCCUGGAGGUGAUGUGCUCAAGAAACUACCCACACCACACAAACCUGGUGGUACAGCCAGAAGGGAGCAUAAGUUCUUAUUUUCCUGCAGCACUUGCAGGUGGAAUGUUAAGCUGUCCUUGUUAAAUACUGUAUUUUUAGAAGAUACGGUGUUGAUUUGUAGCCUGUUUGCCACUGGGUACCAUUACGCUUGCCAACAGGUUAGCGGGCUAGCUACAGUAUACUGAGGAAGCUAAGCUAAUGAACGGCCACGUAAACCUAAACUUCAGGGCAAAACAAAGACAAGCUGGUCCACGGGACAAAGGACCACGGCUGCCACCAAUGUAAGUGUGCCCUCUGGGUUUGUCGGACCUGAUAUGCUGAAUAAUGAGGCAAUAAAUGGCACACAGGCGAGGUGCUCUUUCUCCACUACAUCCACCUUUAUUAAAGGCACAUGUGAACUCAGAACACAGGUUUUACGACAACCAGAACACCUUUUACUGCAGCUAUGCUAACUCAUUUCAGACACCUCACUCCAAAGGCAAAUACAUACAGAACACAUUUAACCAGCACAACAAUCUGUUACAAUACCAAUAUUCAUUUUUUAGCCUUCCAAAAUCUGCAGUUAAAUAGCCACAUAUUUAGACUAUUAAAUUUUUUUAGAAUCCCUAUAGGUCUACAGGAUUUUUAUAACAUAUCUGUGGGUUGAGCUUUGAGCCUUACAAUAAACAUGGACUCUCAGACUUUCCAGAUUGUUGUAAUAAUGUUAAAUCCUUUCUUAAGAAACUUUGUUUGACUCAACUAUUUCAAAAUCAAACCGUGUAAAUGGUCCCAGAGUGCUUACGGGAAAUUUCCCUCCAAAGCAUGUAAAAAAAAAAAAAGACAGAUGGUGACCUACUACCAAAUGUUUCUUAGAUUAGACUUGAUACAACUUCAUUGAGCCUUCUGGGAAGGUUCCCUCAAGAAAAUUAAAAGCAGUCUAAACAGUAUUAAAACAAGAAAAUCUCCUGGCGAAAAUUUUGAAAGGGCCUUGGGGGUUACUGCUAGGAUGUGUACAUUAUUUUUCAAAGAUUUUAAAAAAUGAGUGCUGGCCCUCUAUACAAAAGUAUAAGGGGCCAGCACUAUUGUGAUAUUGUGGAUUUUUUUUAUUCUCUUCCAGACAAAUUACUACAAAUCCUACAGCUUGAAGAGUUGUAGGACAAAUUAUAUGUAGCGUUGGGAAAUUUUCAGCAGCAAGGUAAUCUAUUGAAUUCUUUGUUGUGUCAUAGAAUGUAGCACUCAAGGCGUGAUAGUGUCUCACCAAUGAGCCAAACUUUGGCACACUACAACCCAAUUUCCCAACCAGGCUCUACUACAUCAAAAAUCCCAAAUCAAUAAGGAAAGGAGGCCCAAAUAAACUUCAAGAAACUAUGUUUACUAUGUUUCAUCUUGUCCUUGUAAAGCUAAAGGCUUGAGAUGAGAGGAAGAGGCUCAUGACAUGGCCAUGCCUGCACAUGUGAGGGCACCAGGUACAAAAGGGGUUAAACAUUUCUUAUUUUUAACAUGUCAUAUAUUAUUUAGCCACAGUUAGAUACAUUACCUCAUCACUAUUCAUCCCUCAAACAGCUGCUGGGACCAUAAACAUAUUUUGGACUCCACCAAUGAGUGUCGCCUAGACCUGCUCUUUUUGGAAAGUGUCUUGGGAUAACAACUGUUGUAUAAAUAAAUAUUGAUGAAUUGAUUGAUUGAUUGAUUGAUUGAUUGACAUGUGGACACCCUUAUGUCUGAACAUAGUGUUCGUUAUGGACAAUCUGUGACAAGCACAGAAAUCCAUAAAACAUAGCACCACCUGGGUUCAGGGGGCUGUUCCUCCCAAUCACACCCCUCCAGGUCCUACUGUCACUGCCAACAUGGGUGUUGAAGUCCCAGAGCAGAACAAGAGAGUCCCACGAGGGAGCACUCUCCAGCAGCCCUUAAACACAAACAACAGUCAGGAUCCCUCUCCCCAUCCAAAGGCGAACCUUCUUGUCCACUGGCUGAACCCCAAGAUACAGGCCUAGCGCCUCUCACAAGUGCCACUUGCGAGAGGCAAAUCCCCUGAAAACUUAGCUCCUGGGAUCAUUGGGAUACACAAACCCCUCCACCACGGUAAAUUAUUUUACUUUUUAUUUAUUCGUUUUUUUCUUAUUUCUGAUAAAAA
Non-coding RNA from Xyrichtys novacula (pearly razorfish), 2692 nucleotides. The record is from the annotation of a GenBank genome assembly. NCBI's taxonomy places the organism in Eukaryota, Metazoa, Chordata, Actinopteri, Labriformes, Labridae.